Vulpes vulpes (red fox) is the source of this 601-nucleotide long non-coding RNA. Lineage: Eukaryota; Metazoa; Chordata; Mammalia; Carnivora; Canidae. The record is from Ensembl.
CUAAGCACUAAGCAACAGACUCAUCCAAAGCAAUUCCUUGUCUGAGUCAAGGCCAUGUCAAUGUAUUAACACUCUGUUUACUUCAGACCAAAGUUCAGAUGAAUCAGAGAACAUCCAUGUGCCUCUGACUUCCACUUCAUGAUGCUCCUUUGGUUUAGUUAUUGAGGGAGACCCUGGCCCAGAAAACUCUAAGGAUUGAUUGCUCUUGAAGGCACAAGAAAUCACAAUUGCAAUUACCUGGCCCCAGAAGAUAUGUGUGGAUGUUGGUUUUCUGCGUGGGGCAAGGCACUUUGUUGGCUGUAAUACAACAUACCAGCACCGGAAUUUGAGGUGCAAACUCCUCCCAGGCUACAGGAUCAGAACUGCAGUCUCUAAAACAAAACAAAACAAAACAAAACAAAAACAGAAAAGCAAACCUAUGGACGCUAUCAGCUUGCAGCUGAUUCCCUGUAUGGUCACUGGGAAGCUAAGGUCAAGCUGUCAGACCACUGCCAACAGCUGCAGAAGGAGAAAUGAAGUGAAUUCUAGUGGAUGAGGAGAAGAGAAGAGGAAUCAAGACAUCAGUAUCUUACUGCUGGGAGCAGCAGGUUAUGGACCUCUG